CAGCCGCCGCGGUAAUACGUAGGUCCCGAGCGUUGUCCGGAUUUAUUGGGCGUAAAGCGGGCGCAGGCGGUUAGAUAAGUCUGAAGUUAAAGGCUGUGGCUUAACCAUAGUACGCUUUGGAAACUGUUUAACUUGAGUGCAAGAGGGGAGAGUGGAAUUCCAUGUGUAGCGGUGAAAUGCGUAGAUAUAUGGAGGAACACCGGUGGCGAAAGCGGCUCUCUGGCUUGUAACUGACGCUGAGGCUCGAAAGCGUGGGGAGCAAACAGGAUUAGAUACCCCUGUAGUCCCUGUCUCUUAUACA
This 301-nucleotide ribosomal RNA is filed under the name uncultured bacterium. Its description in RNAcentral is "partial 16S ribosomal RNA". It matches the Rfam family "Bacterial small subunit ribosomal RNA", at positions 509 to 808 of the family's 1533-position model. The record is from RNAcentral.